GACCAAGACCAUGCCAAGGUUGGCCUGGUUAGUACUUGGUUGGGAGACCGCCUGGGAAUACCAGGUGCUGUAAGCU
This 76-nucleotide ribosomal RNA is filed under the name Labrus bergylta (ballan wrasse). Lineage: Eukaryota; Metazoa; Chordata; Actinopteri; Labriformes; Labridae. The record is from RNAcentral.